CGGACGGGUGAGGAAUACAUCGGAAUCUACUCUGUCGUGGGGGAUAACGUAGGAAACUUACGCUAAUACCGCAUACGACCUACGGGAGAAAGCAGGGGACCUUCGGGCCUUGCGCUAUCAGAUGAGCCUAGGUCGGAUUAGCUAGUUGGUGAGGUAAUGGCUCACCAAGGCGACGAUCCGUAACUGGUCUGAGAGGAUGAUCAGUCACACUGGAACUGAGACACGGUCCAGACUCCUACGGGAGGCAGCAGUC
RNAcentral lists this ribosomal RNA (253 nucleotides) under uncultured Pseudomonas sp. RNAcentral describes it as "partial 16S ribosomal RNA". It matches the Rfam family "Bacterial small subunit ribosomal RNA", at positions 99 to 355 of the family's 1533-position model. Lineage: Bacteria; Pseudomonadati; Pseudomonadota; Gammaproteobacteria; Pseudomonadales; Pseudomonadaceae. The record is from RNAcentral.